Molecule: non-coding RNA, 106 nt
Filed under: Rubneribacter badeniensis
Lineage: Bacteria; Bacillati; Actinomycetota; Coriobacteriia; Eggerthellales; Eggerthellaceae
Description: Glycine riboswitch
Rfam family: Glycine riboswitch aptamer
About the family: This family represents the bacterial glycine riboswitch. Glycine riboswitches usually consist of two metabolite-binding aptamers domains with similar structures in tandem.
Source: RNAcentral
GCCUCUGGAGAAUCCUGCGCGCCGUUAGCGAUCGCAGGUGCCGAAGGGGCAAGGCGCGCCGCCUCGCGCGACGUCGCCGAAACUCUCAGGCAAAAGGACAGAGCGA